Long non-coding RNA from Brassica napus (rape), 1484 nucleotides. RefSeq lists it as uncharacterized. The transcript is spliced from 2 exons. The record is from RefSeq and is a predicted model, not a curated record. NCBI's taxonomy places the organism in Eukaryota, Viridiplantae, Streptophyta, Magnoliopsida, Brassicales, Brassicaceae.
CUUCUCUCUCCUUCUGUUAUUAUUUUAAUAUUUAAAUUUUUUAGAACCUCGUGUAAAUGCAAACGAUGGACGUGCUCUGAGAUAAAUUUAUUUAUACGGCUGUGACUGUCAAGCCAAAACGACGAGAGGAGUCUUUUACAUACGCCACGUGGCGUGUUAUAAUCAUCUCCGGUGAUGCCAAAGCAGCUUUUAGAUUCUCAGCAUAUACCCCCGAAAAUUUAAAAAUCUUACGUUUAUUUUUUCUUGUUUCGCUACAAAAAUCAAAAUUCGAUAGUAGCUACAAACACAAGUUUUAGAGAUGUAGUCCCAGCCUGUGCCACUUGCAUCUUAUCUGACUGACACAAUCUGAAUUUUGUUCGGUGAGUACCUUGUAUCGUCUGCUUUUACCGUCGGUUACUUUGUAUCAGCUGGUGUGACCGGGAGCUGGUAUCGUUCAAAGCGUUUUCUCCAACUUGUCUUUAAGCUAACGCAAUGGUGGCAUAAAAAAGGAAAAUAGAGACCAGCAGCUAGAAAUGUUAAACUAUGAGAAUACAGUUACACUUACAACUUGCAAGAAACCAAAAUGAAUAUAGUCCAAGUUUACUAGGGUUUAUUGGUUGUUGUAUUUUAAUAGAUUUGAAAAUCUGAACUAAAUCUAGUGUUAUUGGUUCGAUGAUUUUUAAAUCUGUAUUAAAAUCAUGUGUUAUUGGUUUAAUGAUUCAUAAAUUCUGUAUCAAAUCAAGUGUUAUUCAAUUUUACGAAUUUACUAAUAUAUUUGAUUUUAUAAUGGAUUUGAAUGAAUUUGUUUGGAUUUUUUAGUUAAAAAUACAAAGAUUCAAAUCCGAUGGAAAACCUACGGAUUUGCAUAUUUUACUUUAUAAAUACUAUAUGGAUUUAUAAAUCAAUCAAAAUAUAUAAACCAAUAACACCUAUACAGCUCCCUCAAGUUUUAAUUAUUAUUAUUUUUUAUUUCACCGGUUUCCAAUAACAAGAGUUGUUGUAGUAUAGUGGUAAGUAUUCCCGCCUGUCACCCGGGUGACCCGGGUUCGAUACCCGGCAACGGCGAUUAACUGUUUUUUGUGUGGUGUUUUCAAAUACCAGUACACUCGCCACAACGUAUCUAUCUAUAUCUCUCUCUCCAGCUGCAUCUUCCCUUUCUCUUUUUUUUUUUUUUUGGUUUCUAACGUUCUUGUUUAUUAUGGCAGGUUGGUUUUGAGAUGGUGGACCUUUUGGCUGAUGCAGAAGGGAUAUCUGUGAACACCGUUAACUUCAAGGCCUUGUUUGGCAGAGGUCUUAUUGGACAUGUACCGGUUAUGCUGGCGAAAUCUCAGACUCUCAUGGACGCAAGUGAUGAGUCUGUAAGUUAGCUCAUCGCAAAAAAAAAAACAACUUUAAGUGUAUGUGUAUUUUUACUUGUAAAUCAACUUAUUGAUUGGUGGAACUGUCUGAAGGUCGCACAAAUUGUUUCCUUUUACAAGAUCUAAACCAAGUACUUAUGGUAUGCA